Molecule: ribosomal RNA, 510 nt
Filed under: uncultured bacterium
Lineage: Bacteria
Description: partial 16S ribosomal RNA
Rfam family: Bacterial small subunit ribosomal RNA
Source: RNAcentral
GACGAACGCUGGCGGCGUGCUUAACACAUGCAAGUCGAACGAAGAGCGAUGGAAGCUUGCUUCUAUCAAUCUUAGUGGCGAACGGGUGAGUAACGCGUAAUCAACCUGCCCUUCAGAGGGGGACAACAGUUGGAAACGACUGCUAAUACCGCAUGCGAUCUAAUCUCGGCAUCGAGGAUAGAUGAAAGGUGGCCUCUACAUGUAAGCUAUCACUGAAGGAGGGGAUUGCGUCUGAUUAGCUAGUUGGAGGGGUAACGGCCCACCAAGGCGAUGAUCAGUAGCCGGUCGGAGAGGAUGAACGGCCACAUUGGGACUGAGACACGGCUCAGACUCCUACGGGAGGCAGCAGUGGGGAAUCUUCCGCAAUGGACGAAAGUCUGACGGAGCAACGCCGCGGGAGUGAUGACGGCCUUCGGGUUGGAAAGCUCGGUUAAUCGGGACGAAAGGCCUUCUUGCGAAUAGUGAGAAGGAUUGACGGUACCGGAAUAGAAAGCCACGGCUAACUACGUG